This is a long non-coding RNA of Perognathus longimembris pacificus (Pacific pocket mouse), 787 nucleotides long. RefSeq lists it as uncharacterized. NCBI's taxonomy places the organism in Eukaryota, Metazoa, Chordata, Mammalia, Rodentia, Heteromyidae. The record is from RefSeq and is a predicted model, not a curated record. The transcript has 3 exons.
AGUUAAACUUCUAAAUGCAUUACUCAUUGACACUUCAUUGCAUGUGUCCUAAUUAUGAAGUUUCAGAUUUAAUUAUAUUUGGGGGGGGACUCUUGUCACAUUUGGGCAGGUCUUAUUUUUUUUAAUCUAGUCUGGCUUUUUCAAGAAAAUCAUGAUUUUGAAAUAGAAUUGAAUAGGACUAUUUGACUGGCUCAGUCACUAUGAUUGUACCAGCCUGACAGAUAUUCACAUACAUAUUGCCCAUUGCUAGUUUUCAUGCACAGAACAAAAGCUCUUCACAAUUUCAGAGGCACUAAGACAUUAACAAGUAAUUAUUUUCUGCCUUAGACUCCUGAUGGUGAUGAAUACUUGACCCUUCCUGUGUCCACACAACCACUGACUGCAAGUUCUUAUUGUCAUGACCAGUUAUUUGGAUAUUUAUUUGGGGCACUUACCUAUGUGCUGCUACUAGCACAUGGGUUUCCAGUCAAGGUUGGGAUAAGGAAGGAAGAGCAAAGUCUUUCUAAAUCUUGGUUGCUUUAGCAGUAUAGUCUGAUUAUGUCUGAUUGUGAUAACUGGCUCUAGGUUUUUUCACCAAUACAUAAAACAGAUAGACAAUGCAAACUGAAAUCAUCUGCAGUUUUAUAGAGUAGAUAGUAGGACAUUCCCUCCACUGCAAAAUUUUGCUAGGAGAAUAUCAGAUAGUGCCAAAGACAGGAGAACAAAGCCUUCCCUUUUGGGCUUAGGUCCAAAGAGGCAGUUUGAGCAUUUGAAAAAAAAAAAAAACAAGAAUGAUACAACAACAAGA